GAAAUGCGAUAAGUAGUGUGAAUUGCAGAAUUCAGUGAAUCAUCGAAUCUUUGAACGCACAUUGCGCCCUUUGGUAUUCCAUUGGGCAUGCCUGUUUGAGUAUCAUGAAAUCUUCAAAGUAAAUCUUUUGUUAACUCAAUUGGUUUCUACUUUGGUAUUGGAGGUCUUUGCAGCUUCACACCUGCUCCUCUUUGUUCAUUAGCUGGAUCUCAGUGUUAUGCUUGGUUCCACUCGGCGUGAUAAGUUAUCUAUCGCUGAGGACACUGUAAAAGGUGGCCAAGGUAAAUGCAGAUGAACCGCUUCUAAUAGUCCAUUGACUUGGACAAUACUUUUAUGAUCUGAUCUCAAAUCAGGUAGGACUACCCGCUGAACUUAAGC
RNAcentral lists this unclassified non-coding RNA (378 nucleotides) under plant metagenome. RNAcentral's name for it is "partial contains 5.8S ribosomal RNA, internal transcribed spacer 2, and large subunit ribosomal RNA". The stretch from base 1 to 105 matches the Rfam family "5.8S ribosomal RNA", at positions 50 to 154 of the family's 154-position model. The record is from RNAcentral.